Non-coding RNA from Nematostella vectensis (starlet sea anemone), 46 nucleotides. The record is from Rfam. Lineage: Eukaryota; Metazoa; Cnidaria; Anthozoa; Actiniaria; Edwardsiidae.
ACAACGGCUCUUUUAGGAGCCACCACUUCUUAGAAAGUGAAUGAUU